RNAcentral lists this ribosomal RNA (468 nucleotides) under uncultured bacterium. RNAcentral describes it as "partial 16S ribosomal RNA". It matches the Rfam family "Bacterial small subunit ribosomal RNA", at positions 28 to 507 of the family's 1533-position model. The record is from RNAcentral.
GACGAACGCUGGCGGCGUGCUUAACACAUGCAAGUCGAACGGACAGGCCCUGCUUUUGUGGGGUGCUCGAGUGGCGAACGGGUGAGUAACACGUGAGUAAACUGCCCUUGACUUUGGGAUAACUUCAGGAAACUGGGGCUAAUACCGGAUAGGAGCUCCUGCUGCAUGGUGGGGGUUGGAAAGUUUCGGCGGUUGUGGAUGGACUCGCGGCUUAUCAGCUUGUUGGUGGGGUAGUGGCUUACCAAGGCUUUGACGGGUAGCCGGCCUGAGAGGGUGACCGGCCACCAUGGGACUGAGAGACGGCCCAGACUCCUACGGGACGCAGCAGUGGAGAAUAUUGCACAAUGGGCGGAAGCCUGAUGCAGCAGCGCCCCGUGCGGGAUGACGGCUUUCGGGUUGUAAACCGCUGUCGCAUGUGACGAAGCGUGAGUGACGGUAAUGGGUAAAGAAGCACCGGCUAACUACGUG